CGGGACACGUGGUAUCCUGUCUGAAUAUGGGGGGACCAUCCUCCAAGGCUAAAUACUCCUGACUGACCGAUAGUGAACCAGUACCGUGAGGGAAAGGCGAAAAGAACCCCGGCGAGGGGAGUGAAAAAGAACCUGAAACCGUGUACGUACAAGCAGUGGGAGCACGCUUAGGCGUGUGACUGCGUACCUUUUGUAUAAUGGGUCAGCGACUUAUAUUCUGUAGCAAGGUUAACCGAAUAGGGGAGCCGAAGGGAAACCGAGUCUUAACUGGGCGUUAAGUUGCAGGGUAUAGACCCGAAACCCGGUGAUCUAGCCAUGGGCAGGUUGAAGGUUGGGUAACACUAACUGGAGGACCGAACCGACUAAUGUUGAAAAAUUAGCGGAUGACUUGUGGCUGGGGGUGAAAGGCCAAUCAAACCGGGAGAUAGCUGGUUCUCCCCGAAAGCUAUUUAGGUAGCGCCUCGUGAAUUCAUCUCCGGGGGUAGAGCACUGUUUCGGCAAGGGGGUCAUCCCGACUUACCAACCCGAUGCAAACUGCGAAUACCGGAGAAUGUUAUCACGGGAGACACACGGCGGGUGCUAACGUCCGUCGUGAAGAGGGAAACAACCCAGACCGCCAGCUAAGGUCCCAAAGUCAUGGUUAAGUGGGAAACGAUGUGGGAAGGCCCAGACAGCCAGGAUGUUGGCUUAGAAGCAGCCAUCAUUUAAAGAAAGCGUAAUAGCUCACUGGUCGAGUCGGCCUGCGCGGAAGAUGUAACGGGGCUAAACCAUGCACCGAAGCUGCGGCAGCGACGCUUAUGCGUUGUUGGGUAGGGGAGCGUUCUGUAAGCCUGUGAAGGUGUGCUGUGAGGCAUGCUGGAGGUAUCAGAAGUGCGAAUGCUGACAUAAGUAACGAUAAAGCGGGUGAAAAGCCCGCUCGCCGGAAGACCAAGGGUUCCUGUCCAACGUUAAUCGGGGCAGGGUGAGUCGACCCCUAAGGCGAGGCCGAAAGGCGUAGUCGAUGGGAAACAGGUUAAUAUUCCUGUACUUGGUGUUACUGCGAAGGGGGGACGGAGAAGGCUAUGUUGGCCGGGCGACGGUUGUCCCGGUUUAAGCGUGUAGGCUGGUUUUCCAGGCAAAUCCGGAAAAUCAAGGCUGAGGCGUGAUGACGAGGCACUACGGUGCUGAAGCAACAAAUGCCCUGCUUCCAGGAAAAGCCUCUAAGCAUCAGGUAACAUCAAAUCGUACCCCAAACCGACACAGGUGGUCAGGUAGAGAAUACCAAGGCGCUUGAGAGAACUCGGGUGAAGGAACUAGGCAAAAUGGUGCCGUAACUUCGGGAGAAGGCACGCUGAUAUGUAGGUGAAGUCCCUCGCGGAUGGAGCUGAAAUCAGUCGAAGAUACCAGCUGGCUGCAACUGUUUAUUAAAAACACAGCACUGUGCAAACACGAAAGUGGACGUAUACGGUGUGACGCCUGCCCGGUGCCGGAAGGUUAAUUGAUGGGGUCAGCGCAAGCGAAGCUCUUGAUCGAAGCCCCGGUAAACGGCGGCCGUAACUAUAACGGUCCUAAGGUAGCGAAAUUCCUUGUCGGGUAAGUUCCGACCUGCACGAAUGGCGUAAUGAUGGCCAGGCUGUCUCCACCCGAGACUCAGUGAAAUUGAACUCGCUGUGAAGAUGCAGUGUACCCGCGGCAAGACGGAAAGACCCCGUGAACCUUUACUAUAGCUUGACACUGAACAUUGAGCCUUGAUGUGUAGGAUAGGUGGGAGGCUUAGAAGUGUGGACGCCAGUCUGCAUGGAGCCGACCUUGAAAUACCACCCUUUAAUGUUUGAUGUUCUAACGUUGACCCGUAAUCCGGGUUGCGGACAGUGUCUGGUGGGUAGUUUGACUGGGGCGGUCUCCUCCUAAAGAGUAACGGAGGAGCACGAAGGUUGGCUAAUCCUGGUCGGACAUCAGGAGGUUAGUGCAAUGGCAUAAGCCAGCUUGACUGCGAGCGUGACGGCGCGAGCAGGUGCGAAAGCAGGUCAUAGUGAUCCGGUGGUUCUGAAUGGAAGGGCCAUCGCUCAACGGAUAAAAGGUACUCCGGGGAUAACAGGCUGAUACCGCCCAAGAGUUCAUAUCGACGGCGGUGUUUGGCACCUCGAUGUCGGCUCAUCACAUCCUGGGGCUGAAGUAGGUCCCAAGGGUAUGGCUGUUCGCCAUUUAAAGUGGUACGCGAGCUGGGUUUAGAACGUCGUGAGACAGUUCGGUCCCUAUCUGCCGUGGGCGCUGGAGAACUGAGGGGGGCUGCUCCUAGUACGAGAGGACCGGAGUGGACGCAUCACUGGUGUUCGGGUUGUCAUGCCAAUGGCACUGCCCGGUAGCUAAAUGCGGAAGAGAUAAGUGCUGAAAGCAUCUAAGCACGAAACUUGCCCCGAGAUGAGUUCUCCCUGACUCCUUGAGAGUCCUGAAGGAAC
Molecule: ribosomal RNA, 2438 nt
Filed under: Escherichia coli
Lineage: Bacteria; Pseudomonadati; Pseudomonadota; Gammaproteobacteria; Enterobacterales; Enterobacteriaceae
Description: partial 23S ribosomal RNA
Rfam family: Bacterial large subunit ribosomal RNA
Source: RNAcentral